AAUGAGAGAAUGGUUAAUCAGAUUUUUCCUCUUGAUUUUCAGCCUUUUCCUCCUGAAAAAAUUCAAAUCAAACUAAAAACAUUAAAAAUUAAGAAAAAAAAUAUGAUUUAUCAUUCUCCCAUU
Non-coding RNA from Gossypium raimondii (Peruvian cotton), 123 nucleotides. The record is from Rfam. NCBI's taxonomy places the organism in Eukaryota, Viridiplantae, Streptophyta, Magnoliopsida, Malvales, Malvaceae.